RNAcentral lists this ribosomal RNA (523 nucleotides) under uncultured bacterium. RNAcentral's name for it is "partial 16S ribosomal RNA". It matches the Rfam family "Bacterial small subunit ribosomal RNA", at positions 355 to 871 of the family's 1533-position model. The record is from RNAcentral.
UGGGGAAUUUUGGACAAUGGGCGCAAGCCUGAUCCAGCCAUGCCGCGUGCGGGAAGAAGGCCUUCGGGUUGUAAACCGCUUUUGUCAGGGAAGAAAUCUUCUGAGUUAAUACCUCGGGAGGAUGACGGUACCUGAAGAAUAAGCACCGGCUAACUACGUGCCAGCAGCCGCGGUAAUACGUAGGGUGCAAGCGUUAAUCGGAAUACUGGGCGUAAAGCGUGCGCAGGCGGUUUUGUAAGACAGAGGUGAAAUCCCCGGGCUCAACCUGGGAACUGCCUUUGUGACUGCAAGGCUUGAGUGCGGCAGAGGGGGGAUGGAAUUCCGCGUGUAGCAGUGAAAUGCGUAGAUAUGCGGAGGAACACCGAUGGCGAAGGCAAUCCCCUGGGCCUGCACUGACGCUCAUGCACGAAAGCGUGGGGAGCAAACAGGAUUAGAUACCCUGGUAGUCCACGCCCUAAACGAUGUCAACUGGUUGUUGGGAAGGUUCCUUCUCAGUAACGUAGCUAACGCGUGAAGUUGACCG